CCCUUAGAUGUUCUGGGCCGCACGCGCGCUUCACUGAUGCAUUCAACGAGUCUAAAACCUGGUCUGAUAGGGCUGGGUAAUCUUUUGAAUGUGCAUCGUGAUUGGGAUAGAUGAUUGCAAUUCUUCAUCUUCAACGAGGAAUGCCUAGUAAACGCAAGUCAUCAGCUUGCAUUGAUUACGUCCCUGCCCUUUGUACACACCGCCCGUCGCUCCUACCGAUUGAAUGUUCCGGUGAAUAAUUCGGACUGCGGCAUUGACCGGUUCCCGAUCGUUGCUGCGGAAAGUUUAGUGAACCUUAUCACUUAGAGGAAGGAGAAGUCGUAACA
Molecule: ribosomal RNA, 326 nt
Filed under: uncultured eukaryote
Lineage: Eukaryota
Description: partial 18S ribosomal RNA
Rfam family: Eukaryotic small subunit ribosomal RNA
Source: RNAcentral